Sardina pilchardus (European sardine) is the source of this 333-nucleotide long non-coding RNA. RefSeq lists it as uncharacterized. The transcript is spliced from 3 exons. NCBI's taxonomy places the organism in Eukaryota, Metazoa, Chordata, Actinopteri, Clupeiformes, Clupeidae. The record is from RefSeq and is a predicted model, not a curated record.
GAGCAGAAUAAGUGCUAACAACGAAAGUACCUGGGAUCUAAUGGCUAUAUCAUUCAUGGAGAUGAGGCGAACAAAGGAAUGAGGAGGAGUUUGGAAGAGUUGUACAGUCCACAGAACUUGCAAGUUGCAAUAACUAUCUAUGACAGAUAUCUUACCACUGCUGUCAUAGGCGCCGUGGACACCACUACUCUUGAAUGUAAGAUACUGUAUGAGAACGUCCUGUUGAUCAAGUAAGGUCCAGAAGUUGAAGAGGGGCCUCCAUUGUCUACUUAAACUUUAUUGUGCACCCUCUCCUGAACAAUAUGCUGGCUUUCGCUAGAGUUUGACAUUGAA